Molecule: long non-coding RNA, 652 nt
Filed under: Lathyrus oleraceus (garden pea)
Lineage: Eukaryota; Viridiplantae; Streptophyta; Magnoliopsida; Fabales; Fabaceae
Description: Pisum sativum (pea) long non-coding RNA (PSAT_LNC027570)
Source: RNAcentral
UCACAUUAAGCCCGUUAUCCGUACAUGCUUCAUAGUAGAGUGGCCUGUUAGUGAUAAUGAUCUGAGCAUGGGUUUUCUGGCACAUAAAUAUGUGUAAACCCUUUUAUUGGACCCAACUGUAGUUGUGGGGGAUCGGAUCGUAAUCCGUCCUACCGAGUUCAGUGUCAGAUACCUCUGAACCAACUAACAGUGGGUAAGUUUUCUUUUUCUUUUUUUUGUAGCAAAUUUUUACAAUUCUUUGGUUUAAAUGACUUUGUGAGGGUCGCCUAUACCGGAGUUGCCUUUUUACUUUCUUUUAUUUUUUUGUUUUGCUGGAUAAUUCACUUAUUUGGAUUGGUCCCCUACGUAGAGUAACACCUACAGGAACCUGACACUGGGGCGAGUUUGUUGAUGACUUGAGUAACACCUACAGGAACCUGACACUGGAGUUCCUGAGUUCAUUCGACUAUGACCCAUACUCUGGAGCAGAUGGGUAUACUGCUUUCAGGCUUUUUGGAGUUGAGUACUCUUUCAGCCAGAAAGAGUUCGGCGGCCUAUUGGGUUUCCAAACCACUCCUGAUGCUAUCCCGGAGACACCUAUGGGAUAUUUUCUGGGUAAGGAGGUGGAGAAGUUUUGGAGUGAUAUAUCAGGUGGCGGAAGCCAGGAUCCAUC